This 1013-nucleotide long non-coding RNA is filed under the name Sus scrofa (pig). Its description in RNAcentral is "lncRNA (ENSSSCG00070016803.1)". Lineage: Eukaryota; Metazoa; Chordata; Mammalia; Artiodactyla; Suidae. The record is from RNAcentral.
GAUGGUGCUGAGGGGCCAGGAAAAAAAAAAAAGAUAACUGUGAUUUAAAGAAAAAGAGGAUUCUUUUAAAAUAAUAAAGAAAUAUUUGUCGUGAUCACGUUUCUCAGUAUCCUCUCGAUCGCCCUGGACUUUAUAGACUUCCCGAGGAGGAGACUGCAGGAGGAAGCUGGAUCAGACGUCACUGGACCCUUGUCCCGUGACCCGUCACCCUCCCAGCCACCCUCAGCCUGUGAACCAAGCCAACUCAUGGAUUGCCAGUUUAUGACGUGCCCAUCUCAACAUAAAAACGCCUCUUCUGCCAGAUGCAAGAGGGAUCAACCUACAGCUCGAAGCAGGACAAGAGUUCUUGAGGUGACAAAGAAGGCCUGGAGGGGUAGGAGCAGGGAGAAUUCUCUUCCACCUGUUGGGCGAAAUCUCUGGCAGGCGUUUUCCCCAGAGAGUCGGCUCUGUGGUGAAACCACGCUGGGUGUAUUUUGCAGUGUUGGCCCUUUUCCCUGUCAGAUUCAAGGGCAUCGUUCUCAGAUCUUCUGAGGACCCGGUGAUGCUCCUGGAGGCGGCCGGACCUUCUUCCAAAGUGUACAGCCCAGAGGAAUUUCUUAGAUGCACACCAGUGGUGCUCAGCUGCAGCAUCCAUCACAGUGAUCACUGCUGUGUUCUGCCAGAGUCUGUGGCCCCGGAGGCGUCUGCUCCAGGGAAGGAUCGCAGCGGGGACUCUGUCCACAGAGAGCUGGAGGAGGGCUGGUUUCCCUGACACGUCGGUUCUCCACUGGACCCAGUAGAAACCACUGAUCUCCAGCAUGUCCAGCUGCGGCUGGUCGUAAAGGAGAAACGUGACGACAUCCACGCUCUCUACAGGUUGGAGCUGAGUCUGGGAGGCUUUCGGGCUAACUUUUCAUUGUGUUUGCUCGAGUUCAUGGAUGGAAGAGACAGAAGCUGCAGGAUCUGGGCUGCUGACUGCGGAAAAAGUAAGAUUCAAAAAUAAUUGAUCAAAUAAAUUAAACGCUCAUUUGACA